UAGGGAAUCUUCGGCAAUGGACGGAAGUCUGACCGAGCAACGCCGCGUGAGUGAAGAAGGUUUUCGGAUCGUAAAGCUCUGUUGUAAGAGAAGAACGAGUGUGAGAGUGGAAAGUUCACACUGUGACGGUAUCUUACCAGAAAGGGACGGCUAACUACGUGCCAGCAGCCGCGGUAAUACGUAGGUCCCGAGCGUUGUCCGGAUUUAUUGGGCGUAAAGCGAGCGCAGGCGGUUAGAUAAGUCUGAAGUUAAAGGCUGUGGCUUAACCAUAGUACGCUUUGGAAACUGUUUAACUUGAGUGCAAGAGGGGGGAGUGGAAUUCCAUGUGUAGCGGUGAAAUGCGUAGAUAUAUGGAGGAACACCGGUGGCGAAAGCGGCUCUCUGGCUUGUAACUGACGCUGAGGCUCGAAAGCGUGGGGAGCAAACAGGAUUAGAUACCCUGGUAGUCCACGCCGUAAACGAUGAGUGCUAGGUGUUAGACCCUUUCCGGGGUUUAGUGCCGCAGCUAACGCAUUAAGCACUCCGCCUGGGGAGUACGACCGCAAGGUUG
This 550-nucleotide ribosomal RNA is filed under the name uncultured bacterium. RNAcentral describes it as "bacterial SSU rRNA". It matches the Rfam family "Bacterial small subunit ribosomal RNA", at positions 355 to 896 of the family's 1533-position model. The record is from RNAcentral.